RNAcentral lists this transfer RNA (77 nucleotides) under Proteiniclasticum ruminis. RNAcentral's name for it is "tRNA_Arg_ACG". It matches the Rfam family "tRNA". Rfam says of the family: Transfer RNA (tRNA) molecules are approximately 80 nucleotides in length. Their secondary structure includes four short double-helical elements and three loops (D, anti-codon, and T loops). Further hydrogen bonds mediate the characteristic L-shaped molecular structure. tRNAs have two regions of fundamental functional importance: the anti-codon, which is responsible for specific mRNA codon recognition, and the 3' end, to which the tRNAs corresponding amino acid is attached (by aminoacyl-tRNA synthetases). tRNAs cope with the degeneracy of the genetic code in two manners: having more than one tRNA (with a specific anti-codon) for a particular amino acid; and 'wobble' base-pairing, i.e. permitting non-standard base-pairing at the 3rd anti-codon position. RNAcentral also lists the same sequence under 1 other name. The record is from RNAcentral. Lineage: Bacteria; Bacillati; Bacillota; Clostridia; Eubacteriales; Clostridiaceae.
GCAGUGGUAGCUCAGCUGGAUAGAGUAACCGGCUACGAACCGGUCGGCCGGGGGUUCGAAUCCCUCUCACUGCACCA